CAGAAUUCGCCCUUAGAGUUUGAUCAUGGCUCAGGAUGAACGCUGGCGGCGUGCCUAAUACAUGCAAGUCGAGUGGACAGACGAGGUGCUUGCACCUCUGAAGUCAGCGGCGGACGGGUGAGUAACACGUGGGUAACCUACCUGUAAGACUGGGAUAACUUCGGGAAACCGGAGCUAAUACCGGAUAAUAUUUUCCACCACAUGGUGGAAUAGUGAAAGACGGUUUUGCUGUCACUUACAGAUGGACCCGCGGCGCAUUAGCUAGUUGGUGAGGUAACGGCUCACCAAGGCGACGAUGCGUAGCCGACCUGAGAGGGUGAUCGGCCACACUGGGACUGAGACACGGCCCAGACUCCUACGGGACGCAGCA
Molecule: ribosomal RNA, 370 nt
Filed under: uncultured bacterium
Lineage: Bacteria
Description: bacterial SSU rRNA
Rfam family: Bacterial small subunit ribosomal RNA
Source: RNAcentral